AGAGGUAGUAGGUUGCAUAGUUUUAGGUCAGGGAUGUUGCCCAACAAGGAGUUAACUAUACAACCUGCUGCCUUUC
Molecule: microRNA precursor, 76 nt
Filed under: Sphenodon punctatus (tuatara)
Lineage: Eukaryota; Metazoa; Chordata; Lepidosauria; Sphenodontia; Sphenodontidae
Description: Spt-Let-7-P2c1_pre stem-loop
Rfam family: let-7 microRNA precursor family
About the family: This family represents the microRNAs (miRNA) let-7 and mir-98. let-7 was identified from a study of developmental timing in C. elegans, and was later shown to be part of a much larger class of non-coding RNAs termed miRNAs. The extents of the hairpin precursors are not generally known and are estimated based on hairpin prediction.
Source: RNAcentral